UUAGAAUUGUUACGAUUUUGUGAAAAAGUAAAAACGCUUCGCUUGCAAUGGACGAAAUGGACUACAGUGUCUAGGUUAGGAGGCAUACUGUUUAAACUUCUUCAUUGGACAGCCACUACUGAGUCAGUUCUGGCAUUACUUUCGGCUAAGUAAAGAAUCUUCAGCUCUAUUCGAAUUAUCUGGACUACUCCAAAUCUUGUCAUUUGUGGUUUUUGACCCGUUAUGACGAACCUUCCAAAUGAUGAACACUUCUGUCCAUAAAAUUACAUAAGGUAACGGUGAUAUUAGUGAAAAUUGUUAACCCCAGUGAGAGCGAACAACACAGCUGAAGCGAUGUAAUCUAUGCGAAAAGAGAUGUCCAAGGUAGGGUUAGUUAAGUUUACUGUUUAUGAAAUAGGAAAGCAUUCAUCUUGGGCAACAAAUUAUGAGUAAUGCGAUGGAAUUGAACAGCUAUAUCUCAAAAAGAACUCUUCGACGACGAAUUGAUAUGCAUACAUUACAUAAAUUGAUUGAAGACAGAAAAGCUUUUAGAAAGCUA
This is a long non-coding RNA of Anopheles cruzii, 538 nucleotides long. RefSeq lists it as uncharacterized. The transcript is spliced from 3 exons. NCBI's taxonomy places the organism in Eukaryota, Metazoa, Arthropoda, Insecta, Diptera, Culicidae. The record is from RefSeq and is a predicted model, not a curated record.